Molecule: microRNA, 22 nt
Filed under: Drosophila pseudoobscura
Lineage: Eukaryota; Metazoa; Arthropoda; Insecta; Diptera; Drosophilidae
Description: dps-miR-2550-5p
Source: miRBase by way of RNAcentral
GUAAGGGAAGAGGGUGGUAUUU